This 849-nucleotide ribosomal RNA is filed under the name Trichodelitschia bisporula. RNAcentral describes it as "eukaryotic LSU rRNA". It matches the Rfam family "Eukaryotic large subunit ribosomal RNA", at positions 78 to 941 of the family's 3401-position model. Lineage: Eukaryota; Fungi; Ascomycota; Dothideomycetes; Phaeotrichales; Phaeotrichaceae. The record is from RNAcentral.
CCUUAGUAACGGCGAGUGAAGCGGCAAUAGCUCAAAUUUGAAAUCGGGCGCCUUCGGCGUCCGAGUUGUAAUUUGUAGAGGAUGCUUCAGACACGGCGUCGGCCGAAGUUCUUUGGAACAGGACGUCAUAGAGGGUGAGAACCCCGUAUGUGUUCGACGUGCAGUUGUCUAUGUGAAGCUCCUUCGAAGAGUCGAGUUGUUUGGGAAUGCAGCUCUAAAUGGGAGGUAAAUUCCUUCUAAAGCUAAAUACUGGCCAGAGACCGAUAGCGCACAAGUAGAGUGAUCGAAAGAUGAAAAGCACUUUGAAAAGAGAGUUAAAAAGUACGUGAAAUUGUUGAAAGGGAAGCGCUUGCGAUCAGACUCGUCCGUAGAGGUAGCGUUCGCCGUCAGGCGGGCGUAUACGCCUCUACGGCCGGGCCAGCAUCGGUUUGGGCGACCGGAUAAAGGCCCUAGGAAUGUGGCCCUCUUCGGAGGGUGUUAUAGCCUAGGGUGUAAUGCGGCCAGCCCGGACCGAGGUCCGCGCUUCGGCUAGGAUGCUGGCGUAAUGGUCGUAAGCGGCCCGUCUUGAAACACGGACCAAGGAGUCUAACAUCUAUGCGAGUGUUCGGGUGUCAAACCCGUGCGCGUAAUGAAAGUGAACGGAGGUGGGAACCCCUCGGGGCGCACCAUCGACCGAUCCUGAAGUUUACGGAAGGAUUUGAGUAAGAGCAUAGCUGUUGGGACCCGAAAGAUGGUGAACUAUGCGUGAAUAGGGUGAAGCCAGAGGAAACUCUGGUGGAGGCUCGCAGCGGUUCUGACGUGCAAAUCGAUCGUCAAAUUUGCGUAUAGGGGCGAAAGACUAAUCGAACC